GAUGAACGCUGGCGGCGUGCCUAAUACAUGCAAGUCGAGCGAACAGACGAGGAGCUUGCUCCUCUGACGUUAGCGGCGGACGGGUGAGUAACACGUGGAUAACCUACCUAUAAGACUGGGAUAACUUCGGGAAACCGGAGCUAAUACCGGAUAAUAUAUUGAACCGCAUGGUUCAAUAGUGAAAGACGGUUUUGCUGUCACUUAUAGAUGGAUCCGCGCCGCAUUAGCUAGUUGGUAAGGUAAUGGCUUACCAAGGCAACGAUGCGUAGCCGACCUGAGAGGGUGAUCGGCCACACUGGAACUGAGACACGGUCCAGACUCCUACGGGAGGCAGCAGUAGGGAAUCUUCCGCAAUGGGCGAAAGCCUGACGGGGCAACGCCGCGUGAGUGAUGAAGGUCUUCGGAUCGUAAAACUCUGUUAUUAGGGAAGAACAAAUGUGUAAGUAACUAUGCACGUCUUGACGGUACCUAAUCAGAAAGCCACGGCUAACUACGUG
RNAcentral lists this ribosomal RNA (497 nucleotides) under uncultured bacterium. RNAcentral describes it as "partial 16S ribosomal RNA". It matches the Rfam family "Bacterial small subunit ribosomal RNA", at positions 28 to 507 of the family's 1533-position model. The record is from RNAcentral.